CACGUAGGAGGCGAACGUUAUCCGGAUUUAUUGGGCGUAAAGCGCGUGUAGGUGGUUCUGUAAGUAGGGCGUGAAAGCUCCUGGCUCAACCGGGAGAGGCCGUUCUAUACUGCAGAGCUAGAGGAUGGUAGAGGGAGGUGGAAUUCCAGGUGUAGCGGUGGAAUGCGCAGAUAUCUGGAGGAACACCAGUGGCGAAGGCGGCCUCCUGGACCAUUCCUGACACUGAGACGCGAAAGCUAGGGUAGCAAACGGGAUUAGAUACCCCGGUAGUCCCU
This 275-nucleotide ribosomal RNA is filed under the name uncultured prokaryote. RNAcentral's name for it is "partial 16S ribosomal RNA". It matches the Rfam family "Bacterial small subunit ribosomal RNA", at positions 524 to 798 of the family's 1533-position model. The record is from RNAcentral.